RNAcentral lists this long non-coding RNA (1022 nucleotides) under Olea europaea (common olive). RNAcentral's name for it is "long non-coding RNA (OEUR_LNC003537)". Lineage: Eukaryota; Viridiplantae; Streptophyta; Magnoliopsida; Lamiales; Oleaceae. The record is from RNAcentral.
UUCCACUCAAAAGAAGCCUUCUCCAACAGAAUAAAAAAGCCAUUUUUGUCUCUAUUCUUUGUUCAACGCUUAAAUGCAGAAAUGAUUCCAUACCAUACCAAGUUUACAUACAAAGCAGGCAUUAUAACUACUAAUGCUAUAAACAGAAAUCAAGAGGAAAAAGGAGCCCAGAAAUGGCAAAAUGAAAUAAUCAACUAUGAACUUAUAUUAUCAAUUGAAAAUUGGGACAAAGCAGUACAUCAUCAAAUACACCAUAUAAUUUCCUUGCUUACAUAAAUACGUAAAAUGCAUCUAUUUCCCCCAUUGAUUUCACCAUAUUCACUCUGCAUUUAGGGUUAUUUGACGACAUAGCACCUGCUUCUUCACAUAAUCUAAAUUCGCAUUAAAAAUAUUGAAAUUUUAGACCAAAAAACGUGUAAUAAUUCUUUUCUUCCACGGGUUAGAAAAAAUUAAAAGGAUUAUAUAUAGAGAUUUUUCUUUUUUCAAAUAAAAUUGUAAAAUCAUGCCUGGCUCCAUUCUGUCUGCCAUAUUCCACGCAGAAUAUCAAGGCAAAGGAGUUUUCCAAGUACUACAUUGCACUCCAUCCGUGAAAACCCCAAACCCACCUUGGAUUUAGAGAGACAUGUUCAGAUGGAACCUCUUUGUUGACAAGGGUCACUUCGUCAUCGCAUAGCAUGACCUUGCUGCUGUUUCUGCCGCCGCCGCCGCUGGUGAUGGUAGUGGCGGUGGUUUCAGAAUAAAAAACAGCCAUUUUACACCUUUUAGUGAGUGUUUUUAAAAUGAAACCACUUUACCGUUUCCCCACAACACAACGCUAACAAAACGUAGUCUCCUUUCUUCUUUCUCUUACAGGGAAUUUUAGAGAGAGAGAAAGAGAUUGAGAUUUGGAGCAGGGCGUUUGAUCAUCUUUGAGAGGAAAUGGGAAUGGAAACGUCAAAAGUAAGUUUUUGUAUUGGGAUUUGGAGUGGGGUUGGAGGGCGAAGGGUGUUUCGAGGGUAGCUUUUCACUUGGAAAUAUUGCAC